RNAcentral lists this long non-coding RNA (386 nucleotides) under Anser cygnoides (Swan goose). Its description in RNAcentral is "lncRNA (ENSACDG00005013775.1)". Lineage: Eukaryota; Metazoa; Chordata; Aves; Anseriformes; Anatidae. The record is from RNAcentral.
CCCCUUGCUGUCUGAACCUAUCUGUUGUGUCUCACCUAAUACUUAGGUAGCAAGUUCUGUAAGAAAUUAUUCAAAAAACAUCACUUUGUUUUGUAUUUUAGGUGACUCCUGACCAUGAAGUUCUGGUUGACAACUUGGGCUGCUCUGCUAGCGUUACUGUCACUGUGCCCACUGAAAUUAAUGCUGUUAUUCCACGUAUUUACAGAGGCAAGUCUCUAACAUGGUAAUUUAAAUCUUUAACAAAAUACCAGUUAAAAAUCUUUGAAUGAUGGCUCAUGGGAGGAAAAUAAGGAAAAGGCUCUAAGAUAACUGCUUUUGAAAUGUAGGAAAACAUAUGGCUGAGUUCCUGAUGUGUUAAACUGCAGGAGGCUGCAGGUGAGCAGUUG